This 251-nucleotide ribosomal RNA is filed under the name uncultured prokaryote. Its description in RNAcentral is "partial 16S rRNA". It matches the Rfam family "Bacterial small subunit ribosomal RNA", at positions 525 to 775 of the family's 1533-position model. The record is from RNAcentral.
ACGGAGGAUGCAAGCGUUAUCCGGAUUCAUUGGGUUUAAAGGGUGCGCAGGCGGAUUAAUAAGUCAGUGGUGAAAUCCUACGGCUCAACUGUAGAACUGCCAUUGAUACUGUUAGUCUUGAGUAUUGUUGAGGUAGGCGGAAUGUGUCAUGUACAGCUGAAACACUUAUAAAUGACACACAACACCGAUCGCGAAGGCAUCUUACCAAGCAAUAACUGAUGAUCAUGUACGUAACCGUGGGGAUAGAUCUG